GGGUGAUUAGCUCAGCUGGGAGAGCACCUCCCUUACAAGGAGGGGGUCGGCGGUUCGAUCCCGUCAUCACCACCA
RNAcentral lists this transfer RNA (75 nucleotides) under Escherichia coli. Its description in RNAcentral is "tRNA-Val". It matches the Rfam family "tRNA". Rfam says of the family: Transfer RNA (tRNA) molecules are approximately 80 nucleotides in length. Their secondary structure includes four short double-helical elements and three loops (D, anti-codon, and T loops). The record is from RNAcentral. RNAcentral also lists the same sequence under 4 other names. Lineage: Bacteria; Pseudomonadati; Pseudomonadota; Gammaproteobacteria; Enterobacterales; Enterobacteriaceae.